Molecule: ribosomal RNA, 798 nt
Filed under: uncultured Bacillota bacterium
Lineage: Bacteria; Bacillati; Bacillota
Description: bacterial SSU rRNA
Rfam family: Bacterial small subunit ribosomal RNA
Source: RNAcentral
AAAGGGGAGCAAUCCCUGAGUACAGUGGCGUACGGGUGAGUAACACGUGGGUCAUCUACCCUUGGGUGGGGAAUAACCCUGGGAAACCGGGGCUAAUACCGCAUAUCUCCGAGAGGAGAAAGUCGCAAGACGCCUAAGGAGGAGCCCGCGGCCGAUUAGCUAGUUGGUAGGGUAAAAGCCUACCAAGGCUCAGAUCGGUAGCCGGCCUGAGAGGGCACUCGGCCACACUGGCACUGAAACACGGGCCAGACUCCUACGGGAGGCAGCAGUGGGGAAUCUUGCACAAUGGGGGAAACCCUGAUGCAGCGACGCCGCGUGAGCGAUGAAGCCCUUCGGGGUGUAAAGCUCUUUCGGCAGGGACGAUAAUGACGGUACCUGCAGAAGCAGCUGCGGCUAACUACGUGCCAGCAGCCGCGGUAAUACGUAGGCAGCGAGCGUUGUUCGGAGUUACUGGGCGUAAAGGGUGUGUAGGCGGUCCUGUAAGUCUGGUGUGAAAUCUCCCGGCUCAACUGGGAGGGUGCGCCGGAAACUGCAGGGCUAGAGUGCGGGAUGGGAGAGUAGAAUUCCUGGUGUAGCGGUGAAAUGCGUAGAUAUCAGGAGGAAUACCUGUGGUGUAGACAGCUCUCUGGACCGCGACUGACGCUGAGACACGAAAGCGUGGGUAGCAAACAGGAUUAGAUACCCUGGUAGUCCACGCCCUAAACGAUGCACAUUUGGUGUGGGUGAUUCAUUUCAUCCGUGCCGGAGCUAACGCGUUAAAUGUGCCGCCUGGGGAGUACGGUCGCAAGGCUGAAACUC